This 264-nucleotide ribosomal RNA is filed under the name uncultured bacterium. RNAcentral describes it as "partial 16S ribosomal RNA". It matches the Rfam family "Bacterial small subunit ribosomal RNA", at positions 1228 to 1500 of the family's 1533-position model. The record is from RNAcentral.
CAAUGGCAGGUACAGAGGGAUGCUACCGGGCGACCGGAUGCGGAUCUCGAAAGCCUGUCCCAGUUCGGACUGGAGUCUGCAACCCGACUCCACGAAGUUGGAUUCGCUAGUAAUCGCGCAUCAGCCAUGGCGCGGUGAAUACGUUCCCGGGCCUUGUACACACCGCCCGUCAAGCCAUGGGAGCCGGGGGCGCCUGAAGUCCGGGACCGCGAGGACCGGCCUAGGGCGAAACUGGUAACUGGGGCUAAGUCGUAACAAGGUAAC